UGAAGAGAGGGAGGAAGGGAGGCAGGAAGGAAGGAAGGAAGGGUUAAAGAAAAGGACAAAAAAAUAGGCAGGAAAGACAGAAAAAAAGGAUGAAAAGAGGAAAGGGUGAAGAGAAGAAAGGCAAGAAAGGUAAAAGUAAGAGAAAGAAGGAUUAAGAAUGAAGGAAAGAAGAAAAAAGAAAAAAGAAGAAAGGACAAAAAGAAGGAAGAAAAAAGGAAAAGAAAAGAUACUCCACAAGCUUCAGAGGAUGUUGGAA
This 256-nucleotide long non-coding RNA is filed under the name Homo sapiens (human). RNAcentral describes it as "HSALNT0244017". The record is from RNAcentral. Lineage: Eukaryota; Metazoa; Chordata; Mammalia; Primates; Hominidae.